Molecule: long non-coding RNA, 457 nt
Filed under: Salmo salar (Atlantic salmon)
Lineage: Eukaryota; Metazoa; Chordata; Actinopteri; Salmoniformes; Salmonidae
Description: lncRNA (ENSSSAG00000106639.1)
Source: RNAcentral
CUCUCUCUCUGUCUACAUAAAGUUAGUAACUGUAGUUUGAGCGUCACUGUUCAUCUCAAUGCUCCUGUUUUCAGAUGACUUGGCACCCUGCAUCAACCCUCUGGAAUCUUCCGUUUUAUGUGAAGGGUGUAAAUGGUGAAUGGCUACAACUUCUAUUUUUAGUGACUAUGGAUGUUAUGAUGUAAAAAUAGAAUGAACGUUGUCAGAAAGUGGUGGGGAGGUUCAGUUGUAGUCUAACUAAAUCUAUACUGGAGUAGUGUGGGGAGGUUCAGCUGUAGUCUAACUAAAUCUAUACUGGAGUAGUGUGGGGGGGUUCAGCUGUAGUCUAACUAAAUCUAUACUGGAGUAGUGUGGGGGGGUUCAGCUGUAGUCUAACUAAAUCUAUACUGGAGUAGUGUGGGGAGGUUCAGCUGUAGUCUAACUAAAUCUAUACUGGAGUAGUGUGGGGGGGUUCAGC